RNAcentral lists this ribosomal RNA (460 nucleotides) under uncultured bacterium. RNAcentral describes it as "partial 16S ribosomal RNA". It matches the Rfam family "Bacterial small subunit ribosomal RNA", at positions 338 to 795 of the family's 1533-position model. The record is from RNAcentral.
CCUACGGGCGGCAGCAGUGAGGAAUAUUGGUCAAUGGGAGGAAGCCUGAACCAGCCAUGCCGCGUGCAGGACGACGGCUCUACGAGUUGUAAACUGCUUUUGAACCGGGGUAAAAUGCCUUACGUGUAGGGUUUUGAAAGUCCGGUACGAAUAAGGAUCGGCUAACUCCGGGCCAGCAGCCGCGGUAUAACGGAGGAUCCGAGCGUUAUCCGGAUUCAUUGGGUUUAAAGGGUGCGUAGGUUGUUUUAUAAGUUAGCGGUGAAAUACCGAUGCUCAACAUCGGGGCUGCAGCUGAUACUGUAGGACUAGAGAUCGGAUGCGGCAGGCGGAAUGUGUCGUGUAGCGGUGAAAUGCAUAGAUAUUACACAGAACACCGAUUGCGAAGGCAGCUUGCUAGGCCGGAUCUGACACUGAUGCACGAAAGCGUGGGGAUCGAACAGGAUUAGAUACCCUUGUAGUC